This 913-nucleotide ribosomal RNA is filed under the name uncultured marine archaeon. RNAcentral's name for it is "bacterial SSU rRNA". It matches the Rfam family "Archaeal small subunit ribosomal RNA", at positions 1 to 920 of the family's 1478-position model. The record is from RNAcentral.
UUCCGGUUGAUCCUGCCGGAGGCUACCGCUAUUGGAGUUCGAUUAAGCCAUGCGAGUCGCGAGUCUUAGGGACUCGGCGUACCGCUCAGUAACACGUGGGUAACCUGCCCUAUGCUGGGGGAUAACCUCGGGAAACUGAGAAUAAUACCCCAUAGUUCACCACGCCUGGAACGGUGGGUGGAUCAAAGCUCCGGCGGCAUAGGAUGGGCCUGCGGCGUAUCAGGUUGUAGGGGGUGUAAUGUACCCUCUAGCCCUCUACGCGUACGGGUGUUGAGAGACAUCGCCCGGAGAUGGAUUCUGAGACACGAAUCCAGACCCUACGGGGUGCAGCAGGCGCGAAAACUUGGCAAUGCGAGAAAUCGUGACCAGGGAACUCCAAGUGCAUCGGGUAAGACCGAUGCUUUUCUUGACUCUUCAAAGGUCUUGGAAUAAGGGGUGGGUAAGGACGGUGCCAGCCGCCGCGGUAAUACCGGCGCCCCAAGUGGUAGUCGCUUUUAUUGGGCCUAAAACGUCCGUAGCCGGUCUGGUACAUUCGUGGGUAAAUCAACCAGCUCAACUGGUUGAAUUCUGCGAGCACGGCCAGACUUGGGACCGGGAGAGGUGUGGGGUACUCUCAGGGUAGGGGUAAAAUCCUGUCAUCCUGAGAGGACCACCUGUUGCGAAGGCGCCACACUAGAACGGAUCCGACGGUCAGGGACGAAGCCUAGGGGCACGAACCGGAUUAGAUACCCGGGUAGUCCUAGGUGUAAACGCUGUGGACUUGAUGUUGGGGGCGCUCCGAGCGCACUCAGUGUCGAAGCGAAGGUGAUAAGUCCACUGCCUGGGGAGUACGGUCGCAAGGCUGAAACUUAAAGGAAUUGGCGGGGGAGCACCGCAACCUGAGGAUUGUGCGGUUUAAUUGGAGUCAACGCCG